GGAAUCUUCGGCAAUGGACGAAAGUCUGACCGAGCAACGCCGCGUGAGUGAAGAAGGUUUUCGGAUCGUAAAACUCUGUUGGUAGAGAAGAACGUUGGUGAGAGUGGAAAGCUCAUCAAGUGACGGUAACUACCCAGAAAGGGACGGCUAACUACGUGCUAG
Molecule: ribosomal RNA, 162 nt
Filed under: uncultured bacterium
Lineage: Bacteria
Description: partial 16S ribosomal RNA
Rfam family: Bacterial small subunit ribosomal RNA
Source: RNAcentral